AGUGAACGCUGGCGGCAGGCCUAACACAUGCAAGUCGAGCGGCAGCGGGUUCCCGCGAGGGGAUGCCGGCGAGCGGCGGACGGGUGAGGAACACAUCGGAAUCUGCCUGGUUGUGGGGGAUAACGUAGGGAAACUUACGCUAAUACCGCAUGAGACCCUGAGUCGACGGACUGGGGGUGAAAGUGAGGGACCUUCGGGCCUCACGCGACCAGAUGAGCCGAUGUCGGAUUAGCUAGUUGGCGGGGUAACGGCCCGCCAAGGCGACGAUCCGUAGCUGGUCUGAGAGGAUGAUCAGCCACACUGGGACUGAGGCACGGCCCAGACUCCUACGGGAGGCAGC
RNAcentral lists this ribosomal RNA (340 nucleotides) under uncultured bacterium. RNAcentral's name for it is "bacterial SSU rRNA". It matches the Rfam family "Bacterial small subunit ribosomal RNA", at positions 30 to 352 of the family's 1533-position model. The record is from RNAcentral.